GACGAACGCUGGCGGCGUGCUUAACACAUGCAAGUCGAACGGAAAGGCCCUGCUUUUGUGGGGUGCUCGAGUGGCGAACGGGUGAGUAACACGUGAGUAACCUGCCCUUGACUGUGGGAUAAUUUAAGGAAACUGGGGCUAAUACCGGAUAGGAGCUCCUGAUGCAUGGUGGGGGUUGGAAAGUUUCGGCGGUUGGGGAUGGACUCGCGGCGGAUCAGCUUGUUGGUGGGGUAGUGGCUUACCAAGGCUUUGACGGGUAGCCGGCCUGAGAGGGUGACCGGCCACAUUGGGACUGAGAUACGUCCCAGACUCCUACGGGAGGCAGCAGUGGGGAAUAUUGCACAAUGGGCGGAAGCCUGAUGCAGCAACGCCGCGUGCGGGAUGACGGCCUUCGGGUUGUAAACCGCUUUCGCCUGUGACGAAGCGUGAGUGACGGUAAUGGGUAAACAAGCACCGGCUAACUACGUG
This 468-nucleotide ribosomal RNA is filed under the name uncultured bacterium. RNAcentral's name for it is "partial 16S ribosomal RNA". It matches the Rfam family "Bacterial small subunit ribosomal RNA", at positions 28 to 507 of the family's 1533-position model. The record is from RNAcentral.